UAAAGAACUCCGGGCAGACGCUAAAGCUUCUAACUUUCAUCUUGAGAGGUUCGACUCCUUUCUUCUUUAA
This 70-nucleotide transfer RNA is filed under the name Euthalenessa festiva. Its description in RNAcentral is "tRNA-Ser". Lineage: Eukaryota; Metazoa; Annelida; Polychaeta; Phyllodocida; Sigalionidae. The record is from RNAcentral.